Brassica rapa (field mustard) is the source of this 890-nucleotide long non-coding RNA. RefSeq lists it as uncharacterized. The record is from RefSeq and is a predicted model, not a curated record. NCBI's taxonomy places the organism in Eukaryota, Viridiplantae, Streptophyta, Magnoliopsida, Brassicales, Brassicaceae.
AUAAGUUGAUUUUUCUCUGAUUAUUAGAUGUUUCUUGUUGACUAAUAAAAAUUUGGCUUAGACAAAAUGAUUGUAAACUGUAGUAAGUGGGACUAUGGUAGCUGAAGUACAGAAAGAACAUAAUUGUAAAGAUUAUACAAAAAGAAGAUCGGAUCUGCGGAAACUAGUGAAGAAAAAUAUUUUUGAUGGUAACUACUCCCUCCGUUUCGCUAUGUAAGUAGUUUUGCUUAAAAGCACGGCUAUUAAGAAACUUCAACUUUUUCUAAAACAACAAUAAAAACGUUUUUGUAUUUAUUGCACACGUUCAUUUUGUCUGCAACAUUUAAUUAGAAAGAGAUUAUUGUUAGUAAUAAAAUUAAUAAAAAAUAAUAUCAACAAUCACACGUUUGAGUUUUCUAAAAACUUUUUUACAACAUUUUGGAGCCAAAUUUUUGUAUAACUAAUUUAAACUAAAAAAUCAAAAUUUUAUGAUGGAGCCAAAGUAAAACUUUUGAACAGUUUGUAAUAUGCUUAUUUAAGCUUCAAUUUCUUUGUCGGGAUGAAGCUCUCCAAUAUCAUAAUGCAUCUUGUUCAAGUCAAAUGGCCGAGUGAACAUCUGGAGGUUUGAUUGUGUUUUGUUGAUUUUUUUAACAUUUUCUGUUUUGUUUUCUUUUUGACUUUUUUCUUCAUUUUGAUCCAUAGUUUUAUGAAGAAAAAAUAGAUCGAAGAAAGUAAAUCAAAAAGAAAAACUAAUGGAGUAAGACAACAUUUACGGUGGUAUUUAUAGUGAAUUUAGAAAUAGAUUUUUUGGUAACUAGUAGUAAAUGUUAGUUGACUGACAUUGUAAGUUGUGUUUAAAAAAUUGAAAACUAACGACAAGGCCUUUAAGUUUUUUAGUGGAAUAUUGUAUA